GACGAACGCUGGCGGCGUGCUUAACACAUGCAAGUCGAACGGAAAGGCCCUUCGGGGUACUCGAGUGGCGAACGGGUGAGUAACACGUGGGUGAUCUGCCCUGCACUUUGGGAUAAGCCUGGGAAACUGGGUCUAAUACCGAAUAUGAUCAUCAGCUUCAUGGUUGGUGGUGGAAAGCUUUUGCGGUGUGGGAUGGGCCCGCGGCCUAUCAGCUUGUUGGUGGGGUAAUGGCCUACCAAGGCGACGACGGGUAGCCGGCCUGAGAGGGUGACCGGCCACACUGGGACUGAGAUACGGCCCAGACUCCUACGGGAGGCAGCAGUGGGGAAUAUUGCACAAUGGGCGCAAGCCUGAUGCAGCGACGCCGCGUGAGGGAUGACGGCCUUCGGGUUGUAAACCUCUUUCAGCACAGACGAAGCGCAAGUGACGGUAUGUGCAGAAGAAGGACCGGCCAACUACGUGCCAGCAGCCGCCGUAA
RNAcentral lists this ribosomal RNA (478 nucleotides) under uncultured bacterium. RNAcentral's name for it is "partial 16S ribosomal RNA". It matches the Rfam family "Bacterial small subunit ribosomal RNA", at positions 28 to 523 of the family's 1533-position model. The record is from RNAcentral.